GACGAACGCUGGCGGCGUGCUUAACACAUGCAAGUCGAACGGAAAGACCCUGCUUUUGUGGGGUGCUCGAGUGGCGAACGGGGGAGUAACACGUGAGUAACCUGCCCUUGACUUUGGGAUAACUUCAGGAAACUGGGGCUAAUACCGGAUAGGAGCUCCUGCUGCAUGGUGGGGGUUGGAAAGUUUCGGCGGUUGGGGAUGGACUCGCGGCUUAUCAGCUUGUUGGUGGGGUAGUGGCUUACCAAGGCUUUGACGGGUAGCCGGCAUGAGAGGGUGACCGGCCACAUUGGGACUGAGAUACGGCGCAGACUCCUACGGGAGGCAGCAGUGGGGAAUAUUGCACAAUGGGCGGAAGCCUGAUGCAGCAACGCCGCGUGCGGGAUGACGGCCUUCGGGUUGUAAACCGCUUUCGCCUGUGACGAAGCGUGAGUGACGGUAAUGGGUAAAGAAGCACCGGCUAACUACGUG
Molecule: ribosomal RNA, 468 nt
Filed under: uncultured bacterium
Lineage: Bacteria
Description: partial 16S ribosomal RNA
Rfam family: Bacterial small subunit ribosomal RNA
Source: RNAcentral